This 495-nucleotide ribosomal RNA is filed under the name uncultured bacterium. RNAcentral's name for it is "partial 16S ribosomal RNA". It matches the Rfam family "Bacterial small subunit ribosomal RNA", at positions 28 to 507 of the family's 1533-position model. The record is from RNAcentral.
GACGAACGCUGGCGGCGUGCCUAAUACAUGCAAGUAGAACGCUGAAGGAGGAGCUUGCUCUUCUGGAUGAGUUGCGAACGGGUGAGUAACGCGUAGGUAACCUGCCUGGUAGCGGGGGAUAACUAUUGGAAACGAUAGCUAAUACCGCAUAAUAGUAGAUGUUGCAUGAUAUUUACUUAAAAGGUGCAAUUGCACCACUACCAGAUGGACCUGCGUUGUAUUAGCUAGUUGGUGGGGUAACGGCUCACCAAGGCGACGAUACAUAGCCGACCUGAGAGGGGGAUCGGCCACACUGGGACUGAGACACGGCCCAGACUCCUACGGGAGGCAGCAGUAGGGAAUCUUCGGCAAUGGACGAAAGUCUGACCGAGCAACGCCGCGUGAGUGAAGAAGGUUUUCGGAUCGUAAAGCUCUGUUGUAAGAGAAGAACGAGUGUGAGAGUGGAAAGUUCACACUGUGACGGUAUCUUACCAGAAAGGGACGGCUAACUACGUG